ACUGCUGUACUACCUGACUAUACUGCAUGAUGAAAAUACAGUACAUCCAUGUGUGCACAGGUACAGGUAACUGCACGCAAGACGUACCGCGACUGCCGCUAGGUUACGAAAACUUUUUGGAGAAAGGCAUGAAAGCGGACGCCCAGGAAUCAUGGGAAUUUUGAGGCUAUCUCUCAGCCGAGCAGUUCGUCAGUUCACCACCUCAACUUUCUCUGGCUGUGAGGUGCGUGUCCGGUUUGCGCCAAGCCCCACUGGACAGCUUCACCUCGGAGGCCUUCGGACAGCCCUCUACAACUACAUCUUUGCCAAAGCACACCAGGGCAAAUUUAUUUUGAGGAUUGAAGAUACAGACCAGGCACGGCUUGUCACUGGUGCAGAGGAGCACUUGCAGAACAUGCUUGAGUGGUCUGGCAUCAAUCCAGAUGAAGGUCCCGUUCAGGGAGGAGAUGUUGGACCAUACAGGCAGUCGGAACGGCUUCAUAUCUACAAGAAGCACAUAGAGUCUCUGGUUGAGUCAGGUGCUGCAUACCACUGCUUCUGCACAGAGCAAAGGCUAGAACUGCUCCGGAAGGAAGCCGUGAGAAACAGACAGGUGCCCCGCUAUGAUAACAAAUGCCGACACAUACCACAGCAAGAGAUGCAAGACCUCUUGCAUUCGGGGAAACCAAGUGUGGUGCGAUUUAAGCUCGAGCCGGACGGGGAAUCGUUCGAGGAUCUGGUCUAUGGUAAAACAAGCCAUGAUACUUUCCUCAUAGAAGGAGAUCCUGUAUUGAUCAAAAGUGAUGGCUACCCCACCUACCAUUUCGCCAAUGUUGUUGACGAUCAUGUAAUGGGAAUCACACAUGUGCUGCGGGGUAUGGAGUGGCUGACAUCUACACCCAAACACCUCAGCCUCUACAAGGCCCUGCAUUGGACUCCUCCAAAAUUUGCACAUUUGCCGCUACUUCUUAACAAAGAUGGAAGUAAGUUAUCCAAGCGUCAAGGGGAUAUAUUUGUGCAGCAUUUCAAGGAUGCAGGUUUCUUGCCAGAAGCAUUGGUCAAUUUCAUCACUUUCUGUGGGUCAGGCUUCGAAGAGAACAAGGAGAUACGGGACAUGGAGCAGUUGAUACAGGAGUUUUCACUAGAUCGAGUCACCACCCAUUCCGCUGUUCUGGAGAUGAGGCUACUACCCGAUGUCAACAGGGGUCACAUCACUCGGUUGCUGGCAAGGGCAGAAGGCAGGCAGAGACUGGUAGCUCAGCUCAGGCAAGAUGUGGAAGAGUUGCUGACAAGAUCAGGAGAACUGGGCAAGAUUGAUGACCUCACGGAUGAGUAUCUACUAAGAGUUCUAGAAGCCCGUAAACAACAUGUUGGAAGGCUGCAAGAUUUGUGUCAAUCAGACCACAUCUACCUAUGGUUACGGCCAAGCCUCAGCAAGGAAGAAUUAACUUCAGUGUCUCCACAUGCAGAGCUUGUGUUAGAACAAGUAUGCAAGGAGAUUGGUAACCUCCAGGAGGUGGCACUCGGCGAGGCAGGAGAGCUCUCGCCCAAGCUGAGGAGAUGCAGUGAAAGCAUGGCUGGCAUCCCUUACCCUGUCUUCAUGAAGGUGCUGAGAGCUGCCUUGAGUAAUCUCAAGAAAGGAGCGAGUGUAGCAGAAAUGAUCGUAAUGCUUGGAAAGAGAGAGGCACUCUACCGUUUACAUGUAGCAAAAGAGAUCAGUGGACAGCCUGUCACAGACAACAGGUGAUGAGGCUUCCCAGGGUACUUGACUAAUGAUCACCGUGUAAAUGAAGCCGAAGAGAUGAUUGGACAGUCUGUCACAGACAACAGACUUGCAACUACAUAGCCGUGGAAUCCUUGGUUUAAAUGCCACAAAUGCUUCCCAACAGACAAGCUGCAGCAAUAAGUAGGAAGUUUGGGCACGCCAAAUGCUUAUGGGAAAGAGGCAACUGAGACUCAGCACAUGGCCAGAAGCCAGAUUCAAACCCCCAAGUAUCCAAUCAGGAGUCAGUUUACUUGUACUCAAAUGGGUCUGUUAAAUUGCACAUGAUGUUGAUUUCAA
RNAcentral lists this unclassified non-coding RNA (2041 nucleotides) under Acanthaster planci (crown-of-thorns starfish). Its description in RNAcentral is "probable glutamate--tRNA ligase, mitochondrial, transcript variant X3". The record is from RNAcentral. Lineage: Eukaryota; Metazoa; Echinodermata; Asteroidea; Valvatida; Acanthasteridae.